UGAGGAAUAUUGGUCAAUGGGCGGGAGCCUGAACCAGCCAAGCCGCGUGAGGGAAGAAGGCCCUAUGGGUCGUAAACCUCUUUUGUCAGGGAACAAAAGCGAGUAUGUAUACUAGUCUGAGUGUACCUGAAGAAAAAGCAUCGGCUAACUCCGUGCCAGCAGCCGCGGUAAUACGGAGGAUGCGAGCGUUAUCCGGAUUUAUUGGGUUUAAAGGGUGCGUAGGCGGCGAUGCAAGUCAGCGGUAAAAGCCCGGGGCUCAACCCCGGCGAGCCGUUGAAACUGCAGUACUAGAGAAGGCGAGAGGUACGCGGAAUGCGCAGUGUAGCGGUGAAAUGCUUAGAUAUUGCGCAGAACUCCGAUUGCGAAGGCAGCGUACUGGCGCCUGACUGACGCUGAGGCACGAAAGCGUGGGGAUCGAACAGGAUUAGAUACCC
RNAcentral lists this ribosomal RNA (434 nucleotides) under uncultured bacterium. Its description in RNAcentral is "bacterial SSU rRNA". It matches the Rfam family "Bacterial small subunit ribosomal RNA", at positions 355 to 787 of the family's 1533-position model. The record is from RNAcentral.